Molecule: RNA transcript, 893 nt
Organism: Bactrocera neohumeralis
Lineage: Eukaryota; Metazoa; Arthropoda; Insecta; Diptera; Tephritidae
Exons: 3
Source: RefSeq, a predicted model, not a curated record
AAACUCAACCAAAGCAAUUUGAAAUUCUCGUGGAUUUCAUGAAGGCGCAUCCUAAUUUAUCGAAAGGAUCACUAAAAACACCAGACGCCAAAAAUACCUCCAAUAAUUUAUGGAAAAAUUUAGUUUCCUAUUUAAACGCAGCAGGGCCACCAUUGCGCGACAUUGCGGGGUGGAAGAAGGUUUGGGCAGACUAUAAGAUUCACUUAAAGGCAAAAAUGCGACGAAACAAAAAUAAUAUUUCGGGAACUGGAGGUGGUCCCUCACUUUUCAUAUCCUUAUCACAGUUAGAGCAACAAGUGAGUGAGUUAUUGUCAAUAGAGGAAUCAAUAAAUGGAAUGAGUGGUACCUUGUCAUUCGGUGCAGCUACAAGCAGCAUGUCGGAGGUAAAUGCAGACCCUACCGAACCAAAUACACACAACAGGGAACUACCACAAUGUUCCAAAGUGGCAUGCACACCUCACAAAAAACAGCAGACUCCUCUUAAUACACAAGAAAAUGAACUACCACAUUGUUCAAAUGUGACGUACCCACCGCGCAAAAAACAGCAGACUCUGCUUGAACAACAAGUCGAAAACCAAAUUAUAUUCCACAAUAACUCGAUUAAAGUGUUAAACGAUAUAAAUUUUAAUAUAAAAAACAUUUUUAAAACAUUGAAAAAAGAAAUAAAUUAGAAAAACGGAGACUAACCUUUGAAAAGGAAAAAUUUCUAUAUAAACAAAAAAUUGAUGAACAAAAAUUGAGAAACUGGAAAAUUUCGUCCUCAAACUUUCACGUUCUCCUGAGAGGUUCCAUACGUGGGAGUCAUGCGACGCUCCUCCAAAUCUACCAUUUGCUGCCCUUAUCUGCAUUUUGUGAUCACAUAUCUAAAAAAAGUUUUAAGUCAUUGCACUGGA